UUUCACCGGCUGAGCCAAGAACUGAUCUCUCAGGAAUCAGGAGUCAGGAGGAGGAAAUGCUAUAUUUAACAUAUAUAUUAACUCAAAAUAACCUCAGCGGUUCGAGCAUUUAUAACGGCACCGAUAUGGCUUAUUUGGAUCCCAGUCCGUGUGGAGGCCUGUCUGAGCCAGAUGGAGGAUGAUGAUGAUGAUGCUGGUCCCAGUUCUGAUCUGCUGUUAAACACCAGUCUGCCAUGGCAGAGCUGCUGGUUGAGAAAAUGAGCUUUAAAGAAAAGCUCCAAGAAGACGACCGCCACCAUCUGCAGCAAAUUGUGUGGAAAUGUUCACGCUGAAACAGAGAUGACCAAGAAGCUGCAGCAGCUGGAACAGAUGCUGUUGAGCCGUUUUUAUCCGAUGGAUGCUUUGCAGGUGAGCAUGUGUUGUUUCACAGGGACUUUAAUGUGCAUCCACUGAUAGACCUGGAGCAGGCUUCAUUGGCUUUUGGGUUUGCAUAGAGAUGCUAAACUGAGCCUUCCUCGCGCUUUCUGACUGCUAAGUUCUAUAGCAGCACGGAUUGAAUUGAGGAAUACAUGUGAGCAUGCUGGGCAGUAUGAAGCAGGCAGCUUAUCGCUUUUUGCAACUUACUUUGUCCUAUUAACCUCUAGCAGGAUCAGUUUCUUCAACAUUCCUGUUGCAUCACUCAUU
Molecule: long non-coding RNA, 684 nt
Organism: Centropristis striata (black sea bass)
Lineage: Eukaryota; Metazoa; Chordata; Actinopteri; Perciformes; Serranidae
Exons: 3
Source: RefSeq, a predicted model, not a curated record